AGAACCACUUGGCUCUGUACCAGCUGCCAUCUGGAGAGAAAACCAAGGAGUUAACCUCCCGCCACCUUCAUUACUUCACCAAACGCCAGCCUCCCAUGUCCCACCUCAUCUCUCUGUUCGUACCAGACUCCUCCUCCAAUAACAUCCAGAUGCUGUCACAUGGCUCGGCUGACCUCAUCCUGGAAGCCUGCACUGACUUCUGGGAUGGAACUGAUAUCUACCCCCUGUCGGGCUCAGACAGGUGCCGUCACACUGAUCGCUCUUCUGUGGCUGUAAAUCUUGAGUCAGACACAAGUAUCAAAGUUUCAUAAGCACAGCACAG
Toxotes jaculatrix (banded archerfish) is the source of this 322-nucleotide long non-coding RNA. RefSeq lists it as uncharacterized. The transcript has 2 exons. The record is from RefSeq and is a predicted model, not a curated record. Lineage: Eukaryota; Metazoa; Chordata; Actinopteri; Toxotidae.